This 66-nucleotide transfer RNA is filed under the name Tenomerga trabecula. Its description in RNAcentral is "tRNA-Ser". The record is from RNAcentral. Lineage: Eukaryota; Metazoa; Arthropoda; Insecta; Coleoptera; Cupedidae.
GAAAUAUAUAAUUUAAGAAAAAGCUGCUAACUUUUAUCUUUAGCGAUUAAAAACGUUAAUAUUUCU